This 421-nucleotide ribosomal RNA is filed under the name uncultured bacterium. RNAcentral's name for it is "bacterial SSU rRNA". It matches the Rfam family "Bacterial small subunit ribosomal RNA", at positions 954 to 1375 of the family's 1533-position model. The record is from RNAcentral.
GCUUAACGCGAAGAACCUUACCUACUCUUGACAUCCAGAGAACUUAGCAGAGAUGCUUUGGUGCCUUCGGGAACUCUGAGACAGGUGCUGCAUGGCUGUCGUCAGCUCGUGUUGUGAAAUGUUGGGUUAAGUCCCGCAACGAGCGCAACCCUUAUCCUUUGUUGCCAGCGGUUCGGCCGGGAACUCAAAGGAGACUGCCAGUGAUAAACUGGAGGAAGGUGGGGAUGACGUCAAGUCAUCAUGGCCCUUACGAGUAGGGCUACACACGUGCUACAAUGGCGUAUACAAAGAGAAGCGACCUCGCGAGAGCAAGCGGACCUCAUAAAGUACGUCGUAGUCCGGAUUGGAGUCUGCAACUCGACUCCAUGAAGUCGGAAUCGCUAGUAAUCGUAGAUCAGAAUGCUACGGUGAAUACGUUCCC